UACGUAGGGGCCGAGCGUUGUCCGGAAUCAUUGGGCGUAAAGAGCGUGUAGGCGGCCACUUAAGUCCUGCGUGAAAUCUUGCGGCUCAACCGCAAGCGGUCGUGGGAAACUGGGUGGCUAGAGUGCGGGAGAGGAGAGUGGAAUUCCUGGUGUAGCGGUGGAAUGCGCAGAUAUCAGGAAGAACACCCGUGGCGAAGGCGGCUCUCUGGAACGCAACUGACGCUGAGACGCGAAAGCGUGGGGAGCAAACAGG
This 253-nucleotide ribosomal RNA is filed under the name uncultured bacterium. RNAcentral's name for it is "partial 16S ribosomal RNA". It matches the Rfam family "Bacterial small subunit ribosomal RNA", at positions 524 to 776 of the family's 1533-position model. The record is from RNAcentral.